This 99-nucleotide ribosomal RNA is filed under the name Scolecobasidium crassihumicola. RNAcentral describes it as "Ochroconis crassihumicola partial 28S ribosomal RNA". The stretch from base 30 to 99 matches the Rfam family "Eukaryotic large subunit ribosomal RNA", at positions 1 to 70 of the family's 3401-position model. Lineage: Eukaryota; Fungi; Ascomycota; Dothideomycetes; Venturiales; Sympoventuriaceae. The record is from RNAcentral.
GCGGUCUGCCCUUCAACUCUUUUACGGUUUGGCCUCGGAUCAGGCGGGGAUACCCGCUGAACUUAAGCAUAUCAAUAAGCGGAGGAAAAGAAACCAACC